UGAAUGUCCUAGGGGGUAUUGCACUUACCGAAGACUAUCAAACUCCGAAUGCCGUAUUCUUUUGCUUGGGAGUCAGACUAUGGGUGAUAAGAUUCAUAGUCAAGAGGGCAACAGCCCAGAUCGUCAGCUAAGGUCCCUAAAUGUAAGUUAAGUGGUAAAGGAUGUGGAAUUGCACAGACAACCAGGAUGUUGGCUUAGAAGCAGCCACUCAUUUAAAGAGUGCGUAAUAGCUCACUGGUCGAGUGAUUCUGCGCCGAAAAUUUCCGGGGCUAAAACUUACUACCGAAGCUACGGCAUCAUUAUGAUGGGUAGGGGAGCUUUCUAUGCGGCUUGAAGCAUGACCGUAAGGACAUGUGGACUGCAUAGAAGUGAGAAUGUUGGCAUGAGUAGCGAGAUGUGGGUGAGAAUCCCACAGGCCGUAAACCCAAGGUUUCCAGGGGAAGGUUCGUCCGCCCUGGGUUAGUCAGGACCUAAGCCGAGGCCGAAAGGCGUAGGUGAUGGACAACAGGUUGAUAUUCCUGUACCACCAAUAACCGUUUGAGAAAUGGGAUGACACAGUAGGAUAAGCUAACCGCACUGUUGGUUAUGUGCGGGCAAGUAUUGAGGCAGUUCCGAUAGGCAAAUCCGUCGGAAUAAUGCUGGGGUACGAUGCGGAGCGAAAUUUAGUAGCGAAGUAGCUGAUUUCACACUGUCGAGAAAAGUCUCUAUCGAGGUUAAAGGUGCCUGUACCGCAAACCGACACAGGUGGGUGAGGAGAGUAUCCUAAGGCCAGCGAGAGAACUGUUGUUAAGGAACUCGGCAAAAUGACCCCGUAACUUCGGGAGAAGGGGUGCCUUCGAAAGAAGGCCGCAGAGAAUAGGCCCAAGCGACUGUUUACCAAAAACAUAGGUUUCUGCUAAGUCGCAAGACGAUGUAUAGGAGCUGACGCCUGCCCGGUGCUGGAAGGUUAAGGGGAUCUGUUAGAGCAAUCGAAGCAGUGAACUUAAGCCCCAGUAAACGGCGGCCGUAACUAUAACGGUCCUAAGGUAGCGAAAUUCCUUGUCGGGUAAGUUCCGACCCGCACGAAAGGCGUAACGAUUUGGGCACUGUCUCAACAACAGACUCGGUGAAAUUGUAAUACCGGUGAAGAUGCCGGUUACCUGCGACAGGACGGAAAGACCCCAUGGAGCUUUACUGUAGCUUGACAUUGAGUCUCGGUGCUACAUGUACAGGAUAGGUGGGAGACUAUGAAGCAUGGACGUCAGUCUGUGUGGAGUCAUCCUUGGGAUACCACCCUUGUAGUACUGGGAUUCUAACCAGAGGCCAUGAAUCUGGUCUUGGGACACUGUCAGGUGGACAGUUUGACUGGGGCGGUCGCCUCCCAAAAAGUAACGGAGGCGCUCAAAGGUUCUCUCAGUACGGUCGGAAAUCGUACGAAGAGUGUAAAGGCAAAAGAGAGCUUGAUUGCAAGACAUACAGGUCGAGCAAGGACGAAAGUCGGACUUAGUGAUCCGGUGGUUCCGCAUGGAAGGGCCAUCGCUCAACGGAUAAAAGCUACCCUGGGGAUAACAGGCUGAUCUCCCCCAAGAGUCCACAUCGACGGGGAGGUUUGGCACCUCGAUGUCGGCUCAUCACAUCCUGGGGCUGUAGUAGGUCCCAAGGGUUGGGCUGUUCGCCCAUUAAAGUGGUACGCGAGCUGGGUUCAGAACGUCGUGAGACAGUUCGGUCCCUAUCCGUCGCAGGCGUAGGAAAUUUGAGGAGACCUGUCCUUAGUACGAGAGGACCGGGAUGGACGUACCGCUGGUGUACCAGUUGUUCUGCCAAGGGCAUGGCUGGGUAGCUAAGUACGGAAAGGAUAAGCGCUGAAAGCAUCUAAGCGCGAAGCCCACUUCAAGAUAAGAUUUCCCACCGCAAGGUUAAGAUCCCAGGAAGACUACCUGGUUGA
This 1924-nucleotide ribosomal RNA is filed under the name human gut metagenome. RNAcentral's name for it is "bacterial LSU rRNA". It matches the Rfam family "Bacterial large subunit ribosomal RNA", at positions 911 to 2856 of the family's 2925-position model. The record is from RNAcentral.